AACGAACGCUGGCGGCAUGCCUAACACAUGCAAGUCGAACGAGACCUUCGGGUCUAGUGGCGCACGGGUGCGUAACGCGUGGGAACCUGCCCUUAGGUUCGGAAUAACUCCCCGAAAGGGGUGCUAAUACCGGAUAAUGUCUUCGGACCAAAGAUUUAUCGCCUUUGGAUGGGCCCGCGUUGGAUUAGCUAGUUGGUAGGGUAAAAGCCUACCAAGGCGACGAUCCAUAGCUGGUCUGAGAGAAUGAUCAGCCACACUGGGACUGAGACACGGCCCAGACUCCUACGGGAGGCAGCAGUGGGGAAUAUUGGACAAUGGGCGAAAGCCUGAUCCAACAAUGCCGCGUGAGUGAUGAAGGCCUUAGGGUUGUAAAGCUCUUUUACCCGGGAUGAUAAUGACAGUACCGGGAGAAUAAGCUCCGGCUAACUCCGUG
Molecule: ribosomal RNA, 433 nt
Filed under: uncultured bacterium
Lineage: Bacteria
Description: partial 16S ribosomal RNA
Rfam family: Bacterial small subunit ribosomal RNA
Source: RNAcentral